RNAcentral lists this ribosomal RNA (462 nucleotides) under uncultured bacterium. RNAcentral describes it as "bacterial SSU rRNA". It matches the Rfam family "Bacterial small subunit ribosomal RNA", at positions 1 to 507 of the family's 1533-position model. The record is from RNAcentral.
CGUACGAUACGAGUUGAUCAUGGCUACAGAACGACGCUGGCGGCAUGCCUAACACAUGCAAGUCGAACGAACCCUUCGGGGUGAGUGGCGCACGGGUGCGUAACGCGUGGGAACCUGCCCUUAGGUUCGGAAUAACGUUUCGAAAGGAACGCUAAUACCGGAUAAUGUCUUCGGACCAAAGAUUUAUCGCCUUUGGAUGGGCCCGCGUUGGAUUAGCUAGUUGGUGGGGUAAAGGCUCACCAAGGCGACGAUCCCAUAGCUGGUCUUAGAGGAUGAUCAGCCACACUGGGACUGAGACACGGCCCAGACUCCUACGGGAGGCAGCAGUGGGGAAUAUUGGACAAUGGGCGAAAGCCUGAUCCAGCAAUGCCGCGUGAGUGAUGAAGGCCUUAGGGUUGUAAAGCUCUUUUACCAGGGAUGAUAAUGACAGUACCUGGAGAAUAAGCUCCGGCUAACUCCGUG